GACGAACGCUGGCGGCGUGCUUAACACAUGCAAGUCGAACGGGCCUUGUCCCCUUUUUUUUUGGGGGUGGGGUUAGUGGCGAACGGGUGAGUAACACGUGAGUAACCUGCCCCUCACUUCUGGAUAACCGCUUGAAAGGGUGGCUAAUACGGGGUGUUCUGGCCUGCUCGCAUGGGUGGGUUUGGAAAGAUUCGACCGGUUUUGGUGGUUUUGGUGGGGGAUGGGCUCGCGGCCUAUCAGCUUGUUGGUGGGGUGAUGGCCUGCCAAGGCUUUGACGGGUAGCCGGCCUGAGAGGGUGGGCGGUCACACUGGGACUGAGACACGGCCCAGACUCCUACGGGAGGCAGCAGUGGGGAAUAUUGCACAAUGGGCGCAAGCCUGAUGCAGCGACGCCGCGUGAGGGAUGGAGGCCUUCGGGUUGUGAACCUCUUUCGCCAGUGAAGAAGGUCCUGCUCUUUGUGGUGGGGUUGACGGUAGCUGGGUUAAUGAAGCGCCGGCUAACUACGUG
This 508-nucleotide ribosomal RNA is filed under the name uncultured bacterium. RNAcentral's name for it is "partial 16S ribosomal RNA". It matches the Rfam family "Bacterial small subunit ribosomal RNA", at positions 28 to 507 of the family's 1533-position model. The record is from RNAcentral.